This is a small nucleolar RNA of Phragmites australis (common reed), 139 nucleotides long. RefSeq annotates it as small nucleolar RNA Z247. NCBI's taxonomy places the organism in Eukaryota, Viridiplantae, Streptophyta, Magnoliopsida, Poales, Poaceae. The transcript has a single exon. The record is from RefSeq and is a predicted model, not a curated record.
CGCCUUGACGAUGAGGAGUUGGUCUCCUACAUCCUCUCCGGCCUGGACCUUGAGUUCAAUCCCUUGGUCUCGGCCAUAGCAACUCGUGUUGAGCCCAUCACCAUGGACGAGCUCUUUGCCCAGCUGGUGGGCUUUGAGA